UCCCUGGUGGCCCAGUGGCUAAAGCUCCAUGCUCCCAGUGCUGGGAGUCCAGGUUCGAUCCCUGGUCAGGGAA
Molecule: transfer RNA, 73 nt
Filed under: Bos taurus (domestic cattle)
Lineage: Eukaryota; Metazoa; Chordata; Mammalia; Artiodactyla; Bovidae
Also listed under: 5 other names
Rfam family: tRNA
About the family: Transfer RNA (tRNA) molecules are approximately 80 nucleotides in length. Their secondary structure includes four short double-helical elements and three loops (D, anti-codon, and T loops).
Source: Rfam by way of RNAcentral